Molecule: ribosomal RNA, 145 nt
Filed under: Ochrophyta sp.
Lineage: Eukaryota
Description: partial small subunit ribosomal RNA
Rfam family: Eukaryotic small subunit ribosomal RNA
Source: RNAcentral
GUUGGUGGAGUGAUUUGUCUGGUUAAUUCCGUUAACGAACGAGACCCCCGCCUGCUAAAUAGAAUCCUCAAUACUUAGUAUUGUUGUAUUCUUCUUAGAGGGACUUUUGGUGACUAACCAAAGGAAGUUGGGGGCAAUAACAGGU